This 240-nucleotide unclassified non-coding RNA is filed under the name soil metagenome. RNAcentral describes it as "partial contains 5.8S ribosomal RNA, internal transcribed spacer 2, and large subunit ribosomal RNA". The record is from RNAcentral.
AACCAUUCUCACCUGCGGCUAGACCUGCGGAGGGAUCAUUACAGUGCUCGUCGGGACGUCGCGCCCCCUUCAGGCGUGGGCGUCUCGCACCUGCCCAACCGUGUCUACCGUUUCCCUUGUUGCCUCGGCGGGACUGCCGGGCAGGAGGCCGCCUCACUGUGGGCCAGGACUCCUGCGCGCGGCCCCCCGCGUUACCUUAGCUGACGCGGUGCCACGCUACCCCGAUCAGCGCCCGCCAGA